UUGAUAGCAGGAGCACCAGAAGCAAUAAGGAACUCUCCUAUGACAAGUCAAGGAGAGAACAAACAUUAAAGCCAGCGGCAUUAAGGGAGCAGGCAGUCUCUGCAAUGCCCAGAGCGGCACUAGCAACCACCACAGGAUGAUGAUCCACCCACUGGGCCUUGUCAUCAGUGACAAGCUCUGAUUGUAGUCGGCAGAUGGCCUUUGAUUGGCUGGAUACCAUCAGCGUUCCUUCUGGGAGGGACAAAAAACAAGGCAGAACAAUGCAUUAAGGGGUCUCACACGAAACCAGAAAAUUCGCAUUCCUGACAGCUGCCCCUGUGGUGGUGCUGCUGCUGCUGCUGACAACGAUGAUGAUGGUGAUGGUGAUGGUGGUGGUAGUGAUACUGCAUCUUCUCAUGGUCCCUAAGACCAUACUUCACUAUACACAAUUAGCUAACUCCUUGCUUGACCAACAUACACCUUCCCAAUGCUUCCUAAACAAAAAGUUUGAGUGAUUGAAUUUCUGCCAACAGAAA
Molecule: long non-coding RNA, 515 nt
Organism: Mastomys coucha (southern multimammate mouse)
Lineage: Eukaryota; Metazoa; Chordata; Mammalia; Rodentia; Muridae
Exons: 4
Source: RefSeq, a predicted model, not a curated record